CACAAUAAAAUAUGAAGGCUGUACGCGGCUGUGCUCUCGGGCCAGUUUUGCGGAGGCUGAAUUAUUUAUUACCCUUGUCUUUUGCGCACUUGUUGUUUCCUGGGCGGGUUCGCCCGCCACCAGGACCACAUCAUAAACCUUUUUUAUGCAGUUGCAAUCAGCGUCAGUAUAACAAAUGUAAAUCAUUUA
This 189-nucleotide unclassified non-coding RNA is filed under the name soil metagenome. Its description in RNAcentral is "partial internal transcribed spacer 1". The record is from RNAcentral. RNAcentral also lists the same sequence under 1 other name.